This 404-nucleotide ribosomal RNA is filed under the name uncultured bacterium. RNAcentral's name for it is "bacterial SSU rRNA". It matches the Rfam family "Bacterial small subunit ribosomal RNA", at positions 355 to 776 of the family's 1533-position model. The record is from RNAcentral.
UAGGGAAUAUUGGACAAUGGGCGAAAGCCUGAUCCAGCCAUGCCGCGUGAAUGAAGAAGGCCUUAGGGUUGUAAAGUUCUUUCGUCGGGGAAGAUAGUGACGGUACCCGAAGAAGAAGCUCCGGCUAACUCCGUGCCAGCAGCCGCGGUAAGACGGAGGGGGCUAGCGUUGUUCGGAAUUACUGGGCGUAAAGCGCGCGUAGGCGGUUUUUUAAGUUGGGUGUGAAAGCCCGGGGCUUAACCCCGGAAAUGCGCCCAAGACUGGGAGACUGGAGUCCGGGAGAGGUGGGUAGAAUUCCGAGUGUAGAGGUGAAAUUCGUAGAUAUUCGGAGGAAUACCGGUGGCGAAGGCGGCCCACUGGACCGGUACUGACGCUGAGGCGCGAAAGCGUGGGGAGCAAACAGG